UGGGGAAUAUUGGACAAUGGGCGCAAGCCUGAUCCAGCCAUUCCGCGUGUGUGAAGAAGGCCUUCUGGUUGUAAAGCACUUUAAGCGAGGAGGAGGCUACUUUAGUUAAUACCUAGAGAUAGUGGACGUUACUCGCAGAAUAAGCACCGGCUAACUCUGUGCCAGCAGCCGCGGUAAUACAGAGGGUGCAAGCGUUAAUCGGAUUUACUGGGCGUAAAGCGCGCGUAGGCGGCUAAUUAAGUCAAAUGUGAAAUCCCCGAGCUUAACUUGGGAAUUGCAUUCGAUACUGGUUAGCUAGAGUAUGGGAGAGGAUGGUAGAAUUCCAGGUGUAGCGGUGAAAUGCGUAGAGAUCUGGAGGAAUACCGAUGGCGAAGGCAGCCAUCUGGCAUAACACUGACGCUGAGGUGCGAAAGCAUGGGGAGCAAACAGG
Molecule: ribosomal RNA, 430 nt
Filed under: Pseudomonadota bacterium
Lineage: Bacteria; Pseudomonadati; Pseudomonadota
Description: Proteobacteria bacterium partial 16S ribosomal RNA
Rfam family: Bacterial small subunit ribosomal RNA
Source: RNAcentral